UCUGAGAGGACCGGAAGUGAACCUGGGAGAGGGUGAAUAAGGGAGUAAAAGCUGGCCGCCUCAGCCCCCAGCAGCAACCUGUUCCGGUCGCAUUCCGCGAGGUGGAAGCUCCGUUCCUUCACUCUUCACGAUAAACCUUGUCAGCGCUCGCUCUGAGAGCUGUUCCACUCACCGCGAAGGUCCGCAGCUUCGUUCUUGAAGUCAGACCACGAACCCGCCGGCAGGAACCAACUGCAGACACAAUGUGAUGCACCACGAGCCCAACGAUCCUUCUGGAAUUGAUGUCUGAGAAGAACAAAGUCCCCAGAGAGGCCAACAGGGAAAAGGUCAAGUCAGACCAAAUUUUUCAGGCCCAGAGCUGUGCCUGCUUUGUCCUGAGCUCCAAUUUGGGAAACACAAGAAGAAAUGAAGAUGGACACAUGAUGACAGAGACCCUUGGGCUCCUGGGGGUGGUGGCAGGAGCACGAGUGACAGCUGUUUCCAAAUAUGGACCGAUGACAAGAUGCUUCCAAGAACCAAAAGAUUAGGAAAGAUCUUCUUUUCAUCUUUCAAGUGAAAAACAUAUCUGCUAGCAAGAAUAAUGAGGAUUUGAGAAAUCACUGUGGAAAAAGAAGAUUGUUUAUACGAAGCCAGUGACUUUGGCCUGACUGACAUAUUUAGAAGCCACUGAAACAAAAGCCCUCCUCUCUGGGUCUCUGGUCUGAGAGACGGAACGUAAGAGUUACAAUGUCACGUAAGGAGAACAGCAGGAAAUCUGAAGUGUACCUGGAUUUCAGACAUCCUGGUAUUCCAUUUCUCACGCCAGGCAUUUGGCACUGCUGGGCGUUUGCUCCACCUGAACUCAAUUCCUGUCACCAUCUUCCUGGCCCCUGAAACUUGUUCCUCCCUGGUGAGUUCAAAGAUGACCCUUUCUUUGAGACCUUCCCUCAUCCUUCUUCCUUUAUCACUCCGUGUUACCCUCAACUUUUCUCAAGACGAAAUCAGUGAUUCCCUUCCCUGAGCUCCCAAAAUCCUUAGAAUGCACCUCUGAAUAGCGGCGCCCCAGUUUAAGACAGGUCUGGCUUAUGUUUGUUCCUCUGAUUUGACUACAACCUCCGGGAAGGCGGGGCCCAGCCACUCCACGCGCUUGCAGGUCCUCUAGUCCUCCAUGGGUGCUCAGAUCCACGUCCUGGGUUGUGCUGACUCAGACAGGAGGAGAGAAGUCGCCCCCAGGCUGCUGCGCACCCUGUGCCUGCCCCAGCUUGCCUGCUCCCUGUCUCUCAAGCACCACGGGGUGGUUUUCUAGCAAGGAAUAAUAACAGGCAGCCCUCUUGUGGAGGAGCCUGAGAUUAACCAGUUCUUUUUUGUGUGAAAGUUAGAUAAGGCGUUGUGAUCAUACGUGCUCUUGGCCUGUUCCACUUCCCCAGGACCGUUCCACCUUUGUGUUUCAAGUAUUUCAGCACUGACACCUCACAGCAACGUGGGAUGUCACCUCAAAGCCUGAUUCUGUGAGCUUGGCAGGUUUCUGAGCUUUAAGACAAAUAAAAUGUUUUGGCCACAA
Macaca mulatta (Rhesus monkey) is the source of this 1540-nucleotide non-coding RNA. The record is from RefSeq and is a predicted model, not a curated record. NCBI's taxonomy places the organism in Eukaryota, Metazoa, Chordata, Mammalia, Primates, Cercopithecidae.